CAUACCAACGGAUAACAAAAUCGAACCCAUAGGUCGCAAGGACGAUGGAAAGAAAAGAAUUAGGAUGCGGCCUUCGGCUCUCUUGCUACGCCGCUUCCUUUGCUGCUGUGCCAAUGGAGCUCCCUCUACGAGCAACAAGAAGAAGAAUCUCGUCUUCUUGGGUUCCCCUCAGGUAUCGGCAUCUGUGCUUGACAAGUUGCUCGAUGCAUCGAAAGCUUCCAACUCUAUUUUUCAGCUUGCAGCAAUUGUUACCCAGCCGCCUUCUGGAAGAGAUAGGGGUAGAAAGCUGAUGCCAUCCCCAGUUGCACAAUAUGCCUUGGACAAUGGAUUCCCUCAAGAUCUCAUAUUCACACCUGAACGAGCUGGGGAGGAAACCUUUUUAAGUGAUCUGAGGGCACUGAGUCCAGAUCUUUGUGUUACAGUGGCAUAUGGGAAUAUCUUACCUCAGAAGUUUCUUCAGAUUCCACCAAGUGGAACUGUUAAUAUUCACCCAAGUUUGCUGCCUCUGUACCGUGGAGCUGCUCCUGUUCAAAGAGCAUUGCAGGAUGGCGUUACCGAAACAGGAGUAUCGAUUGCAUAUACUGUUCUUGCAUUGGAUGCUGGACCAAUCAUUGCUUAUGAAAAAGUGGAAGUUGAUGAUUUUAUUAAGGCACCAGAGUUGCUUGCAGUGUUAUUUAAUAUAGGAUCAGAACUUCUGAUUCGUGAACUUCCAUCUAUUCUUGAUGGGUCUGCAAAACUAAAAGCUCAGCCACAGGAUGACUCAAAAGCAACUCUGGCACCUAAGCUAACUUCAGAGGAAUCAUGGGUUUCAUUUGACCAAAAUGCUAAACUAAUACACAACAAGGUAAGAGCAUUGGCAGGUUGGCCAGGAACUCGAGCCAGGGUUCAAGUCAUUGACACCGAUGGUCAUCCCAAUGUGCUAGAGAUGAAGUUAAUUACAACGAGAGUUUGUAGUGCUUGUGACAGAGAGGCUGAAGGAAAUGAGAUACUAUUCUCCAGCAGUAAAUUGCUGAUUCCAUGUGCUGGACAGUCUUGGCUUGAGGUCCUGGAGCUGCAGCUCCCAGGGAAAAAGGUGAUGAGUGCUCGUGAUUUUUGGAAUGGCUUGCGGGGUCAAAAGUUGAUGAAGUCAUCUUUGAGUUAAUUUAAUGUGUUUGGUUAAGAAAAACAACAUUCAAAAAUAGAAAAUCAUUGACAGGCUAUAAGAAGACAAAUGUGGCAUCAUGAUUUGAAGGCUUUAUAAAGUUUCAUUGUGUGACCAAAUACUCAGCAUUGCAAAACUGGGAUAACAGCUUUAUUCAUGUGUUAUUAAAAAGUAUGUUUUAAGAUUCACAUAGGCACUUAAUGUGUCCUAGGGAUCUUUUAAGCAUUUUCAAGUUUCGAAGAUCAGCUGCUGCCACAUUGGUUCAUGAAGAUGAAAGCUAGGAAGAAAGUCUUUUGAAGAGUGGGCCUCUCGAUGACUCCGAAUCUGUACGAACACUUUCAGCAAUUCCUCUGCGUGGGAGGUAUUCUCCCUCAUUAAAUUGGGCACUAAAACCUCAACGAUGCAAUAUAUAUAUAGAUUGAUGUGUUGUUCUUUGGAUGAUACCUGAAUCUUUUCAAGGCCCGCAUCACAUAUUUAACAUUGACUUAUGCCUUGAAGCGGCUUGUCUUGGAGGAUGGUCUCCAUCAUUUUUUUGAUUAAUUAAAUUACUGCCUUAAUGUUUGAUUUUGGCACAAAAAAAAGAAAAAAAGGAUGUUGUGAGGUCAAA
This is an RNA transcript of Elaeis guineensis (African oil palm), 1748 nucleotides long. RefSeq lists it as uncharacterized. Lineage: Eukaryota; Viridiplantae; Streptophyta; Magnoliopsida; Arecales; Arecaceae. The record is from RefSeq and is a predicted model, not a curated record.